CUCCUCGUGAUCACAGAGCAUCUCCUAAUAUUCAUUUCAUGUUUGAUCACGAGACUGGUCCCUCAUAGUCAAUAAGGAGGGAUGCUUCUGUACCAUAAUUAGGGAGUAGAGUAGAUCCCUUAGAGAUCAGACUUGCAGACGAUCAGAUUAAGUUAAUUUUCUAGCAUGUUGCUUCCAUUUUAUCCCAGCAGUUUGCCACCUC
RNAcentral lists this long non-coding RNA (202 nucleotides) under Elaeis guineensis (African oil palm). RNAcentral's name for it is "long non-coding RNA (EGUI_LNC040245)". Lineage: Eukaryota; Viridiplantae; Streptophyta; Magnoliopsida; Arecales; Arecaceae. The record is from RNAcentral.